GUGGCGAACGGGUGAGUAACACGUGAGUAACCUGCCCUUGACUCUGGGAUAAGCACUGGAAACGGUGUCUAAUACCGGAUACGACCUUUGAAGGCAUCUUCUAAAGGUGGAAAGAAUUUCGGUCAAGGAUGGACUCGCGGCCUAUCAGCUAGUUGGUGAGGUAACGGCCCACCAAGGCGACGACGGGUAGCCGGCCUGAGAGGGUGACCGGCCACACUGGGACUGAGACACGGCCCAGACUCCUACGGGAGGCAGCAGUGGGGAAUAUUGCACAAUGGGCGCAAGCCUGAUGCAGCAACGCCGCGUGAGGGACGACGGCCUUCGGGUUGUAAACCUCUUUUAGUAGGGAAGAAGCGAAAGUGACGGUACCUGCAGAAAAAGCACCGGCUAACUACGUGCCAGCAGCCGCGGUAAUACGUAGGGUGCAAGCGUUAUCCGGAAUUAUUGGGCGUAAAGAGCUCGUAGGUGGUUUGUCGCGUCUGCUGUGAAAACUGGAGGCUCAACCUCCAGCCUGCAGUGGGUACGGGCAGACUAGAGUGCGGUAGGGGAGAUUGGAAUUCCUGGUGUAGCGGUGGAAUGCGCAGAUAUCAGGAGGAACACCAAUGGCGAAGGCAGAUCUCUGGGCCGUAACUGACGCUGAGGAGCGAA
RNAcentral lists this ribosomal RNA (648 nucleotides) under uncultured Microbacteriaceae bacterium. RNAcentral describes it as "bacterial SSU rRNA". It matches the Rfam family "Bacterial small subunit ribosomal RNA", at positions 95 to 757 of the family's 1533-position model. Lineage: Bacteria; Bacillati; Actinomycetota; Actinomycetes; Micrococcales; Microbacteriaceae. The record is from RNAcentral.